Molecule: ribosomal RNA, 2908 nt
Filed under: Campylobacter coli
Lineage: Bacteria; Pseudomonadati; Campylobacterota; Epsilonproteobacteria; Campylobacterales; Campylobacteraceae
Description: 23S ribosomal RNA
Rfam family: Bacterial large subunit ribosomal RNA
Source: RNAcentral
AGGUAAGCUACUAAGAGCGAAUGGUGGAUGCCUUGACUGGUAAAGGCGAUGAAGGACGUACUAGACUGCGAUAAGCUACGGGGAGCUGUCAAGAAGCUUUGAUCCGUAGAUUUCCGAAUGGGGCAACCCAAUGUAUAGAGAUAUACAUUACCUAUAUAGGAGCGAACGAGGGGAAUUGAAACAUCUUAGUACCCUCAGGAAAAGAAAUCAAUAGAGAUUGCGUCAGUAGCGGCGAGCGAAAGCGUAAGAGGGCAAACCCAGUGCUUGCACUGGGGGUUGUAGGACUGCAAUGUGCAAGAGGUGAGUUUAGCAGAACAUUCUGGAAAGUAUAGCCAUAGAGGGUGAUAGUCCCGUAUGCGAAAAACAAACCUUAGCUAGCAGUAUCCUGAGUAGGGCGGGACACGAGAAAUCCUGUCUGAAGCUGGGUCGACCACGAUCCAACCCUAAAUACUAAUACCAGAUCGAUAGUGCACAAGUACCGUGAGGGAAAGGUGAAAAGAACUGAGGUGAUCAGAGUGAAAUAGAACCUGAAACCAUUUGCUUACAAUCAUUCAGAGCACUAUGUAGCAAUACAGUGUGAUGGACUGCCUUUUGCAUAAUGAGCCUGCGAGUUGUGGUGUCUGGCAAGGUUAAGCAAACGCGAAGCCGUAGCGAAAGCGAGUCUGAAUAGGGCGCUUAGUCAGAUGCUGCAGACCCGAAACGAAGUGAUCUAUCCAUGAGCAAGUUGAAGCUAGUGUAAGAACUAGUGGAGGACUGAACCCAUAGGCGUUGAAAAGCCCCGGGAUGACUUGUGGAUAGGGGUGAAAGGCCAAUCAAACUUCGUGAUAGCUGGUUCUCUCCGAAAUAUAUUUAGGUAUAGCGUUGUGUCGUAAUAUAAGGGGGUAGAGCACUGAAUGGGCUAGGGCAUACACCAAUGUACCAAACCCUAUCAAACUCCGAAUACCUUAUAUGUAAUCACAGCAGUCAGGCGGCGAGUGAUAAAAUCCGUCGUCAAGAGGGAAACAACCCAGACUACCAGCUAAGGUCCCUAAAUCUUACUUAAGUGGAAAACGAUGUGAAGUUACUUAAACAACCAGGAGGUUGGCUUAGAAGCAGCCAUCCUUUAAAGAAAGCGUAAUAGCUCACUGGUCUAGUGAUUUUGCGCGGAAAAUAUAACGGGGCUAAAGUAAGUACCGAAGCUGUAGACUUGAUUUUAUCAAGUGGUAGGAGAGCGUUCUAUUUGCGUCGAAGGUAUACCGGUAAGGAGUGCUGGAGCGAAUAGAAGUGAGCAUGCAGGCAUGAGUAGCGAUAAUUAAUGUGAGAAUCAUUAACGCCGUAAACCCAAGGUUUCCUACGCGAUGCUCGUCAUCGUAGGGUUAGUCGGGUCCUAAGUCGAGUCCGAAAGGGGUAGACGAUGGCAAAUUGGUUAAUAUUCCAAUACCAACAUUAGUGUGCGAUGGAAGGACGCUUAGGGCUAAGGGGGCUAGCGGAUGGAAGUGCUAGUCUAAGGUCGUAGGAGGUUAUACAGGCAAAUCCGUAUAACAAUACUCCGAGAACUGAAAGGCUUUUUGAAGUCUUCGGAUGGAUAGAAGAACCCCUGAUGCCGUCGAGCCAAGAAAAGUUUCUAAGUUUAGCUAAUGUUGCCCGUACCGUAAACCGACACAGGUGGGUGGGAUGAGUAUUCUAAGGCGCGUGGAAGAACUCUCUUUAAGGAACUCUGCAAAAUAGCACCGUAUCUUCGGUAUAAGGUGUGGUUCGCUUCGUAUUAGGAUUUACUCCGAAAGCGAAGAAACUUACAACAAAGAGUCCCUCCCGACUGUUUACCAAAAACACAGCACUCUGCUAACUCGUAAGAGGAUGUAUAGGGUGUGACGCCUGCCCGGUGCUCGAAGGUUAAUUGAUGGGGUUAGCAUUAGCGAAGCUCUUGAUCGAAGCCCGAGUAAACGGCGGCCGUAACUAUAACGGUCCUAAGGUAGCGAAAUUCCUUGUCGGUUAAAUACCGACCUGCAUGAAUGGCGUAACGAGAUGGGAGCUGUCUCAAAGAGGGAUCCAGUGAAAUUGUAGUGGAGGUGAAAAUUCCUCCUACCCGCGGCAAGACGGAAAGACCCCGUGGACCUUUACUACAGCUUGACACUGCUACUUGGAUAAGAAUGUGCAGGAUAGGUGGGAGGCUUUGAGUAUAUGACGCCAGUUGUAUAUGAGCCAUUGUUGAGAUACCACUCUUUCUUAUUUGGGUAGCUAACCAGCUUGAGUUAUCCUCAAGUGGGACAAUGUCUGGUGGGUAGUUUGACUGGGGCGGUCGCCUCCCAAAUAAUAACGGAGGCUUACAAAGGUUGGCUCAGAACGGUUGGAAAUCGUUCGUAGAGUAUAAAGGUAUAAGCCAGCUUAACUGCAAGACAUACAAGUCAAGCAGAGACGAAAGUCGGUCUUAGUGAUCCGGUGGUUCUGUGUGGAAGGGCCAUCGCUCAAAGGAUAAAAGGUACCCCGGGGAUAACAGGCUGAUCUCCCCCAAGAGCUCACAUCGACGGGGAGGUUUGGCACCUCGAUGUCGGCUCAUCGCAUCCUGGGGCUGGAGCAGGUCCCAAGGGUAUGGCUGUUCGCCAUUUAAAGCGGUACGCGAGCUGGGUUCAGAACGUCGUGAGACAGUUCGGUCCCUAUCUGCCGUGGGCGUAAGAAGAUUGAAGAGAUUUGACCCUAGUACGAGAGGACCGGGUUGAACAAACCACUGGUGUAGCUGUUGUUCUGCCAAGAGCAUCGCAGCGUAGCUAAGUUUGGAAAGGAUAAACGCUGAAAGCAUCUAAGCGUGAAGCCAACUCUAAGAUGAAUCUUCUCUAAGCUCUCUAGAAGACUACUAGUUUGAUAGGCUGGGUGUGUAAUGGAUGAAAGUCCUUUAGCUGACCAGUACUAAUAGAGCGUUUGGCUUAUCUUU